This is a long non-coding RNA of Acanthochromis polyacanthus (spiny chromis), 1509 nucleotides long. RefSeq lists it as uncharacterized. The transcript has 3 exons. The record is from RefSeq and is a predicted model, not a curated record. NCBI's taxonomy places the organism in Eukaryota, Metazoa, Chordata, Actinopteri, Pomacentridae.
ACACACACACACACACACACACACUAUGGCGUCAGAAUCGUGUCAAAACAAUCAAAGCAACUCGCAGCAACGUGUCUGUACACGCAUGAUUAUUUUCUUACGCGUGCGUGCGUUGUCGUGUGCAGAUUGUAUUUCACGCGUAACAAGAAGCUGCGUGCGUAUGAAGCAGCGCGUACACGCCUGUCUGUCACUGUUUGACAAAUACUAUUACGCGUUCACACACGCGUGCGGUCGCCAUACACAAUAGAACGUUUCUGCACCGUGCGUACCAGCCCGCCUCACAUGAGCGUGUCGUGUAAUUGGCCUUUUCAUUUUAGUCAGCCAGGGGAGGCAGCAGUGAGCCAUACUGGCGGAAAAGAAGAAGACGAAGAAGAGUCUCCCCUUUUCGACCGAGGCAGUUCCGGUUCGAGGUUGGAGUCGGUGGCCGAUUCGGCUCCGGUUUUUUGUUUUUCAACAGGCGGUGGGCCGCCUCCGGGCUCCAAAAACUGGGACUCGCACCGGCCCCAACUCGUUGCUGGGCCAGAGGUGGCCCGAGGUGAGAGCCCAGUACGUCAGGGGCUGGGGUUACAGUCCGACCGUCAACAGCGGAAACACAGAAGCGCCGUUUUUAAACAGCCGAGUGAGCAGCAGUAAUGUUCAAUGUUUGUGUUUUAAAAACCGGUAAAUAUAGAAGCAAAAUCCAAGUAGCAACGGUCUGAGGAGGAGACCCAAAGCUUCCCGGAACUGUGGUCUUCAUAUUAAAUUCAGUGGAAGUUAGAGGGAGCCUCUUGGACCACACCAGUGUUCGAAACAAUCCAGUGGGAGACGGCUACAGCUGUACGAACGGAGCCUGACUAACUCCUCAACAACUAAAAAGUUCAGAAAUGACGACAAGAACCAGAAAAGGCAGCCGGGAUGCAGCAGUUUUUGGCCAAAAAGAGCCCCGAUUUUUUCCGGCUGCAUUCCGUGAUUCCAACCAGGUCCCUGGACGCAACAGCUGAGCAUUCCGUGAUUCCAACCGGGUCCCUGAACGCAACAGCUGAGCAGGAGUUGAUGCAGGCCGCAGUACCGAUCAUGAUAGUUGUCGGCCUCGGAUGAUGAGGUCCAGUUACCAGGAUCACUACUCUGCAGCUUACUGGUUCCGUCCUGCAGCUCCUUCAUGCUGUCCUCCUCGCUACAGACCAAAUCAAGAUAAAGGAACCAGGAUGCUACUGUGGAUCUGCUGCAGUAUCUGGAGACGUCAGAGGAACGGUUCUUGAAACAGAUCUGAAGACACCGAGACCUGACCACUGCCCUGCUCCAGAACAUCCAGAGGACGGAUGAAAAUUCAAUCACCUUUGCUGGACUGAUGGGACGCAUGUGUCGGUGCUGGAGCGACUGUCACAGAAAUAAACUGCAUUGUCCACUAUUCCUACCUUUUUUAGAAAAAGUAAUCAUAUUUUUUAUAAAUUAUUUUCCUUCUUAGCAAUUUAAGUACACUGGUAUUUUACUCUUGCACUUUGGGUGAAUACAAAUAUAUUUGUGAUGAAA